UACUGUGGACUGGCAGCCAACCUUUUUUCAUACUGAGUAUAAAAAAGGGUUGGCUGCCUGCCCACAGUAUGCCGGUCACUGCUGGUCCGCAGUUUGCCAGUGUGGCUGCUAACCCUCCUCUGGACC
Molecule: long non-coding RNA, 126 nt
Organism: Gavialis gangeticus (Gharial)
Lineage: Eukaryota; Metazoa; Chordata; Crocodylia; Gavialidae
Exons: 3
Source: RefSeq, a predicted model, not a curated record